Chenopodium quinoa (quinoa) is the source of this 852-nucleotide long non-coding RNA. RefSeq lists it as uncharacterized. NCBI's taxonomy places the organism in Eukaryota, Viridiplantae, Streptophyta, Magnoliopsida, Caryophyllales, Amaranthaceae. The transcript has 2 exons. The record is from RefSeq and is a predicted model, not a curated record.
UCAAAAGCAAGGUUGCACACCUAGGGGGCUUAUCUAGGGUCUUGAGCCUUUAUCCCUUUCUUCUUCAACCUUCACUAGUAGGAAAAUACAAUAAGGCACCCCCAUAAAGGCACUGGUUCAGGCAAAACCGGUGCCCUAAACCGGCCCAAAUUUAGGCGCCAUUUUACACAAAUAUUAAAGGCACCGGUUCAGACCAAACCGGUGCCAAAAACUAAAAGGGCACCGGUUUGAACCGGUGCCAAUUGAACCGCUCCUUAAUUAAAAAAAACCGGUUUAACAUUAUUAUAAUAAAAAAAAACCCUCCCAUAUAUAAACCCCCCCAAACCCUAAAACUCAAUUCGCCGCUUCUCCCUCCUCUUCUCUCAUUCUCUUUCUCUCUCCUCUUCUCCUCUCCUCCUCUUUUGCUCAUCAUUCACCAGUUUGUAAAUACACAUUGAAUGUUGGGAUUACGCAUCCGUUAGUUUGUAAAGGAUUCAAUGCAGACUUUGAUGGGGAUUAAAUGGUUGUUCAUGCUCCUUCCCUUUCUCAUCUCCUCCUCCUUCCCUUUCGCUACCACGUCUCCUUCUCCUUCUCCUUCAAGCCCACCACGAAGACCACCACGGAGACCACCACGAACACCACCACGAAGACCACCACGAGCACAUGCAACAUCACGAACCGGUGAAGAAUCAAGGUGUUGAUUUUGGAAUUUUGAUUUCAAUGUUGUAAUUUUUUUUUUCUUCGAUGUGUAAUUUUUUUUUUCUUCAAUGUUAUAAUUUUUUUUUCCUGGAUUUUGAUGUUGUAAUUUAUUUUAUUUUUUUGUAUUGUAAAAUAACAAUGUAAUCAUCAAUAUAUUUCGUAUUAAAGCUUAUU